RNAcentral lists this long non-coding RNA (942 nucleotides) under Mus pahari (shrew mouse). Its description in RNAcentral is "lncRNA (MGP_PahariEiJ_G0002807.1)". The record is from RNAcentral. Lineage: Eukaryota; Metazoa; Chordata; Mammalia; Rodentia; Muridae.
AAAUAUGAGGAAACCUAACUGAGAUACACACUAGCUUCAGUAAAGCUGCUGUGUAAACGGCAUUUAAAUUCACUGUUAUCGCCACUGACAGAGAUGACGUCAGCUCUUUGCCACCUGAGUAAAUAAAUAUUUAUAGGGCGAUGUAAGUCUGAAGAAUGUCACACUGCUCCAAUAGACUUCAUUUUCAGGCCAGAGUGAAAUAGGCAACAACAAGAACCCCCAUCACCACAUUUGAUGAGUUGUCCAUUCUCUUCUCUAAUACAGCAGCACCGGGUUCAAUACCGAGGGCAAACCACGCAACCAAACCAUCCUCCUCUUCCUCUGCGACUCCUCCCGCCUGGGCGUGAGAGCCUUUCCUCAUCUCAAGCUCGACUCCAAGGAACACCAAGAAACUGGACCACAUCGGGAUGCCCGUUCCUGGCGGCAUACAUUAACGCAGUCCAUCCAUUUUCAGACGUCUCAUUGAGAAGAGAUGGAGAAUGACUGAGUACUCCUGCUACCUUUGCGACAUUUCCUUCUGCGGCUGAACUGUGGAGUUCAGAAAUCAUUUCCCUUUUGUGAUUUCUUUUAACAGAAGACAUGUCUUCCUCUAAAAAAUAAAAUAAAAAAAAAAAAAAAACUUACUGAGAAUUGCUUUUCACACGAAUGGAUGAACAUUAUUUAGAUGCUGAUCUUGGAAAGGCAGUACAUUUCCAAACCAGUACACCUGUCAAAAGAUAAUUCAUAGUCAACUGCGACUGCAGUAGGGAAGGGGGACCGAGUCGGGGCACGGAGUGGAGAGGGUUAAAGCAGAGAGCAUUAGAGGCAGAUGCUUAUAGAGACGUACUGCAGGUUCAACCCAGAGCCUUGUCUCCUGGAUUUUGAAACAGCAAUGUGGCUAGUCAAAUCCACAGCCUAGUCUGCAUAAAGUUCAGGAAAACAACGGGUCCUAGAUUAACUUUC